Molecule: ribosomal RNA, 543 nt
Filed under: Priestia megaterium
Lineage: Bacteria; Bacillati; Bacillota; Bacilli; Caryophanales; Bacillaceae
Description: bacterial SSU rRNA
Rfam family: Bacterial small subunit ribosomal RNA
Source: RNAcentral
UCUGACGGAGCAACGCCGCGUGAGUGAUGAAGGCUUUCGGGUCGUAAAACUCUGUUGUUAGGGAAGAACAAGUACAAGAGUAACUGCUUGUACCUUGACGGUACCUAACCAGAAAGCCACGGCUAACUACGUGCCAGCAGCCGCGGUAAUACGUAGGUGGCAAGCGUUAUCCGGAAUUAUUGGGCGUAAAGCGCGCGCAGGCGGUUUCUUAAGUCUGAUGUGAAAGCCCACGGCUCAACCGUGGAGGGUCAUUGGAAACUGGGGAACUUGAGUGCAGAAGAGAAAAGCGGAAUUCCACGUGUAGCGGUGAAAUGCGUAGAGAUGUGGAGGAACACCAGUGGCGAAGGCGGCUUUUUGGUCUGUAACUGACGCUGAGGCGCGAAAGCGUGGGGAGCAAACAGGAUUAGAUACCCUGGUAGUCCACGCCGUAAACGAUGAGUGCUAAGUGUUAGAGGGUUUCCGCCCUUUAGUGCUGCAGCUAACGCAUUAAGCACUCCGCCUGGGGAGUACGGUCGCAAAACUGAAACUCAAAGGAAUUGACGG